Molecule: long non-coding RNA, 135 nt
Organism: Nanorana parkeri
Lineage: Eukaryota; Metazoa; Chordata; Amphibia; Anura; Dicroglossidae
Exons: 3
Source: RefSeq, a predicted model, not a curated record
AGGGGUGGGCAACUUUGACCCUCCAGCUGUUGUGGAAAUACAAGUUCCAUAAAGCACUGCAAGAUUCUGGCAGUUACAGACAUGACUCCCAGAGGCAGAAGCAUGAUGGGAUUUGUGGUUUCACCACAGCUGGAG